GAGGGUAUAGCUCAGUGGUAGAGUGUGUGCUUAGCGUGCACGAGGUCCUGGGUUCAAUCCCCAGUACCUCCA
Molecule: transfer RNA, 72 nt
Filed under: Camelus bactrianus (Bactrian camel)
Lineage: Eukaryota; Metazoa; Chordata; Mammalia; Artiodactyla; Camelidae
Also listed under: 2 other names
Rfam family: tRNA
About the family: Transfer RNA (tRNA) molecules are approximately 80 nucleotides in length. Their secondary structure includes four short double-helical elements and three loops (D, anti-codon, and T loops).
Source: Rfam by way of RNAcentral